AAUUUGAAUCCUCAGUACCAACGCUAUUAGGUUCAGCCUCUCGAGGGAGGGCCGGGCGCAGCUGCCCAGUGCCCAAUUACUUUUUUGGGCCAAGCAAAAUCAAUAUCACCGUCCUCUUUAAACCUCCUCGGUGUAAGCCCCUCCCACUACGUUUUUGCAUCGACUCUUCGCGCGGCUUCCCAGUUCCCACCACAGAAUUCUUCCACUGAGGCGAAGAGAUUGAGCCGAUUCAAUCGGCUGUAACGAUAUCCUUCACUUCCAUGGGAUUGCCAAGGUUUGGGCGUCCGAAGGGUUUUGAAGGCGAUUCGAGUCCCAACCUUUACGUGGCCAACUGUGGGCCGGCAGUGGGACUUUCUUACGACUCCAUUGCCUCAGUUUUCAGUGCCUUUGGGGAACUCAAAGGUGUCUUUGCGGCUGACGACAGUGGUGCCCGUGUUAUUGUCUCUUAUCGUGAUGAGAGUUCCGCCACAGCUGCAUUGGAAGCAUUUGAUGGACACCCUUGUCCUGACCUUGGAGGCCGUUCGUUGCACAUCCGGUAUUCAGUACUUCAACCCACUUCACAGGGGCAGGUUAGUGACUCAGUUCCAGUAUCGCUGAUGGCUUCUGAGUUGAACAUUCCUGGCCUUUACUUAUUGCAGGACUUUGUCACCAUCAAAGAAGAGGAGGAAUUGCUUGCAGCCAUUGAUGCUAGGCCUUGGAAAAGUCUUUCCAAAAGAAGGGUUCAGCAUUAUGGCUAUGAAUUUUGCUAUGAAACUAGGAAUGUUAAUACGAGACGGAAAUUAGGUGAACUUCCCUCAUUCGUUUCCCUCAUUCUUGAAAGGAUCUCAUCGUUUCCGAAUCUUGAUGAUUCUGCCAAUAUAGUUUUGGAUCAAUUGACGGUUAAUGAGUACCCAACUGGGGUGGGCUUGUCUCCUCACGUAGACACCCAUUCUGCAUUUGAAGGAUUUAUAUUCAGCCUUUCAUUGGCAGGGCCUUGCAUAAUGGAGUUCAGGCAAUAUGCUGAAUGUGCUUGGCUUCCUAACCAUACCUCAAGCCCCAGUAUGAAAAUGCAAAGUCCUGAAGAUGACAAAAGUUUCUUAAGGAGGGCAAUCUAUCUUCCCCCACGGUCCAUGCUUCUAUUAUCUGGGGAGGCUCGUUAUGCUUGGCAUCAUUACAUUCCACACCACAAGAUUGAUUUGGUAAAGGACAGCGUGAUCAGGAGGGGUUCAAGGAGGGUGUCUUUCACGUUUCGUAAGGUUAGAACGGUCCUUGCCAAUGUGAAUUUCCCAAGUAUUGUGAUUCCCAGAGAUGAGAAGACUGGUUUUAUACUGGUUGAAAAUCAAAGCCGGACAAUUCAAUGCUCAAGCGUCUACGUCCCAACAAUCAUAAUUGUUUGUAGGAAAUCGUUAGUCUUGAGUCUUGACUCUAGAGCGACACGAUUGGAGUUGGACUCAUUAUCAAAGAUGAUACAUUCUCCUAGUUUCCGAGGAUCGCACAGAUUAUUCCUUCGCUUAACAGUAGAUAUUUGGUUCACUUGUCUUGCAAGAGAAAAUCAUCUUUAUUUACCCAAGUCUCCAGUCACGAAAAAUAACUUAUAUAAACAAAUAUGCUAAUGCUCAAAUGCUAAUUGAUUAUUCCCAUUCUGAUGGCAUGGUUACUUUUGACUCUUCCCUCACUAUUCUUCACUUUUUGUGACAUAGGCACCUCCAAUCAAAAGGUCAUUUAAGCCCAUACCUCCCCCUUCCAGAAGUCUAGAGUCGUGCAACACACACUUCACUUCAUUUCAUCACGUUUCCACCCUGUUCUUAGAGAGAAACCCUUAAGAGCUCUCUCAGACAAAUUUCUGAGUCGUUUUGCAUGGUGUUUUCAACCCCUUCUAAGUACUUUCUCAUAAUGAC
Molecule: RNA transcript, 1877 nt
Organism: Juglans microcarpa x Juglans regia
Lineage: Eukaryota; Viridiplantae; Streptophyta; Magnoliopsida; Fagales; Juglandaceae
Gene name: alkylated DNA repair protein ALKBH8 homolog
Exons: 10
Source: RefSeq, a predicted model, not a curated record